This 455-nucleotide ribosomal RNA is filed under the name Allium bolanderi var. bolanderi. RNAcentral describes it as "partial external transcribed spacer". The record is from RNAcentral. Lineage: Eukaryota; Viridiplantae; Streptophyta; Magnoliopsida; Asparagales; Amaryllidaceae.
UUUUGCAUUCCUGAAAAAAGAAGCAGAGCCACGACUCAUGUAGGCCUUUUUUGAGAUGUGCUGGCAAAACUAAGCAAUAAACUAAAAAGCCCAAAUGGAAUCCUUCCAGAGAAUCUUUAGCGUGGACAACACCCGUAAAACUAUUGGAGCACUCAACGAUAAAAAUAACAUGCAACAGAAUAGAUAAAGAAAAAUACCAAAGUAUCCAACUUUGUAACCCCCCCAUCCCACACACACUUUGAUAAGACGAGGGGAGGAACAGAUAAACACCAUCAAACACAAUAUUCCACACCCGGGUCUGUUGUCCACGAUGGCAACAUCGAACCUAGCAAAAUUAAGCACAUAGGUACGAUAGAGUUAUGGUACUCGUCAGUUGGCCGCAAAAAAGCGGGGAGCCAGACAUAGCACACACAUUAAUAACCACUCACAUGCCGUCACGGUCACAACCCACCAAA